GCUGGACGAUACGCCGGAUGUUAGUUUCUGUCGUUUGGAAGGCGGACCCUCGCCGGAUGCGCUGUAUUCUCUUUUGAUGUUUGUUCCUGUAUCAAUCACCGAUGCAAAUUUAUAAUAUUAAUAUAACGAAUAAUCACCUUGUGAAGAGCAGUCAGAAAGAUUGCUGGAACCUCCGUUGAUGAACAAUUGCUUGAAGAAGGAACGCCGUUUUUCCGCCGACGGUAAUCUCACUUCGUACACUUCGCCGUGAUUAUCGUCGUACAGUUCUGCAAUCUGUGAUGGCAGCCAAGUUUAUUACAGCUAAUUACUUAUCUUAUAUGAAUAGAUAUAUUGUGGCAAUAUAUUAAUGAUUCCUGAGACAUUGGAAAAAUAAACUUUAUAAAAAAUAUAGCAAAUUAAGACAAUUAAGGCAAUUAGUUAAACUUAAACGCACUAAAUGCAUACAAAAUACAAAAAAAAGCAAUGUUAAAAUAAGCGCCUAUCGAAAUUAUUGAAAGGACGUUACCUCCAGUGGCAGAUUAGAAUGUCGACAAUGGGCAGUCAUUAAGACGAGCAUGUGGACCGAUCGGUCGAGACCACGCAUUAAUGAGGUGA
Non-coding RNA from Linepithema humile (Argentine ant), 594 nucleotides. The record is from RefSeq and is a predicted model, not a curated record. Lineage: Eukaryota; Metazoa; Arthropoda; Insecta; Hymenoptera; Formicidae.